Rhododendron vialii is the source of this 804-nucleotide long non-coding RNA. RefSeq lists it as uncharacterized. Lineage: Eukaryota; Viridiplantae; Streptophyta; Magnoliopsida; Ericales; Ericaceae. The record is from RefSeq and is a predicted model, not a curated record. The transcript is spliced from 3 exons.
AUUCAGUCAUGGACAGUUAUAUGUGGCACUAUCAAGCUGCACCUAUUUUGAUCGUGUCAGCGUACUUCUUCCUAAUAAUGAGCUUGAUUCCACAACAAACAUUGUUUAUCCCAAAGUGUUAUUGUCGUGAUAUGUAAUCAAAACAACCAAUAGCCAAAAUAUAAAGGUAUGUUUAAUUUGUCAUUCUUUAUGUAAAUUUGUUCAAUCAACUCUUAAAAGGGUACUCUACAUUCUUAGUGUAUUUUUGUAGGAUUGGGAUGAAAAAGCUAUAGAUCUCAAAGAGGAAUAAUAUGACAUCAACAAUACUACAAUAGAAACGUAAUAAGAAAUACAACUCAAGUACGUGAAUUGCGAGGCUUCCGAUCCGAGGUGAAUUGAAGUGAUAGUAAAGGGAGCAUUGCUGGUAAAUUGAAAUGAUAGUAAAGGUUUUUGUUAGAUUUCAGCGGUAAGCGCCUUCAGGCACGGCACAAUUCAUAUGGAUUGUCGUCGCCCAAAUGAACAUGGUUGCCAUUGGAUUAGGUUUACCAUAGCAGGAUUGUGUCGCUGGAAGUAUUGGAAAAAAUUCAGGUUAUAUAACCUUUUGUACUGAUUUAUGGUGUGCUUGAUCAAGUAACUUAUUGACUAUUCUGUGGAUUGAAGGCAACAACUCUUUGGUAGUACGUGAUUCUUGCGCAUUUGGUUUUGGUUUCUGUUAGGUAAUUUGCACACUGAAUUAUACCCUUUCUAUCAUGGUCUCUAUCUCUUUCUUUCUUUAUGCAUUUCUGGAACUAAUUUUUGUUAAAUAUUUUAACUAGGUAAAAGGAU